Molecule: ribosomal RNA, 255 nt
Filed under: uncultured bacterium
Lineage: Bacteria
Description: partial 16S ribosomal RNA
Rfam family: Bacterial small subunit ribosomal RNA
Source: RNAcentral
CGGAACGGGUGAGUAAUACAUCGGAACGUGUCCGCUCGUGGGGGACAACCAGCCGAAAGGUUGGCUAAUACCGCAUGAGUUCUACGGAAGAAAGAGGGGGACCCGCAAGGGCCUCUCGCGAGCGGAGCGGCCGAUGACUGAUUAGCCUGUUGGUGAGGUAACGGCUCACCAAAGCAACGAUCAGUAGCUGGUCUGAGAGGACGACCAGCCACACUGGGACUGAGACACGGCCCAGACUCCUACGGAAGGCAGCAG